GAGGAUGUAGUUUAUUUUAGAAUUUUAAAUUGUAAAUUUAAAGGUUUUGUCUUUG
RNAcentral lists this transfer RNA (55 nucleotides) under Crassicauda magna. RNAcentral's name for it is "tRNA-Tyr". The record is from RNAcentral. RNAcentral also lists the same sequence under 1 other name. Lineage: Eukaryota; Metazoa; Nematoda; Chromadorea; Rhabditida; Tetrameridae.